RNAcentral lists this long non-coding RNA (487 nucleotides) under Chrysolophus pictus (golden pheasant). Its description in RNAcentral is "lncRNA (ENSCPIG00010007094.1)". The record is from RNAcentral. Lineage: Eukaryota; Metazoa; Chordata; Aves; Galliformes; Phasianidae.
GUGUUUGCGUGUCAUAUGCAGCAUCAUGCACUGAAAAGCUUGAUGUGUGAGGAGAAUGGAGAUCGAGCACAUCCACAGAAGCAGCGGCUGAUUGGGCUUGCAAGCACGCUGGGGAAGGAGCAGCUCAAUGCUACCCACGGGGCAUCCCUUCAGAGGGGGCAUGCGUUGCAGCUGUGUGGUGUGCACAGAGCUGGUGGCACUCACUGGAUGCUCCCAGAAGACAAACAGCAUUGGUCCAGAUCAAACGCCUCCCACAAGAAGUUCGGACUUCUUUGUUAGAGAAAUGCACAGUCAGCUGGGUGCGGGGCCGGCAGUGCUGCAGUCCAUGUGCCAUGGCCCACCUGGAGGGCAGGCGUGCAGAGGAGCCGUGUCAGACACACACUGCGUUCUAUUAAGAAAAAAAAAAGAAAGGAAAAAACUUACGAGUUUCAUAGAAACAAAUUGCUAUUUAAUUGCAAUGAGCUCUUCUGUGGCUUCACUGGACUGA